UUCCGUUUUGGUUUGCGUUCA
Molecule: non-coding RNA, 21 nt
Filed under: Caenorhabditis elegans
Lineage: Eukaryota; Metazoa; Nematoda; Chromadorea; Rhabditida; Rhabditidae
Source: RNAcentral